UAUAUAUAAAUAAAAUUAUAGUGUAGAGCUACUAUGCUAUCAGAAGCAUAAAUUAGUUGGUGCUUUUGAUUUUUUAGCCCUUAGAUCAAAAAUUCUACAGUUGGGAUGAUAAUGGUCUUUUUAGGAUUGAGUGGCCCCCCUAGGGUUGAGUGGUUCUCAUUGGUUAAUAAUAUUAAUCCAAUGGUUAAAAAUGAUCAAUGGGUUGAUCUAAGGACUAAAAAAUCGAAAACACCAACCACUUUAUGCUUCUGAUAGUAUGGUAGCUCUACUAUAUAUAUGGUGAGAGCGAGAGUAGAGCUUCUAUACUCUUAUAAAUUGGUAGCUCUACUAUAUAUAUGGUGAGAGCGAGAGUAGAGCUUCUAUACUCUUAUAAAUGUAGAGCUCUUUGUAUUUAUAAAUUUUCUGUUGUUGAAUGAAGGGAUGUGCGAUUAGAAUGAUAGUGGUCCCAUGUUAGGAUGAUAGCAGUUCCUUAGAAUUUAGUGGGUGUUUGGUUGAAUAGUAUGAUUUAACAGAUAAAAAUGGUUAACGAAUACAUCUAACGGCCGAACAUAUAUAUAUAUAGUGGAGCUAGAAUACUUUUAGAAGUACCAAGUGGAUGGUGGUUUAGUAUUUUUAGUCCUUGGAUGGAGAUAUGUGAGGUUGAGAUAAUGGUGGUAGGUGGUGGUAGGUGGAAUAGUGUUUGAUCCAAGGAAUAUUAAUAAUUAUGGAGUGGAUCCAAGGGUUAGAAAUUUAGAAGCACCAAGUGGGUGGUGCUUCUAAAAGUAUCCUAGCUCAACUAUAUAUAUAUAUAUAUAUAUAUAUAUAUAUAUGAGUGAGUACGAAGAGAUCUAUACUCAUAAAAACAUAGUAACCAGACUCUCUCACUCUCUCUAUAUAUAU
RNAcentral lists this long non-coding RNA (879 nucleotides) under Ananas comosus (pineapple). RNAcentral's name for it is "long non-coding RNA (ACOM_LNC031984)". The record is from RNAcentral. Lineage: Eukaryota; Viridiplantae; Streptophyta; Magnoliopsida; Poales; Bromeliaceae.